GACGAACGCUGGCGGCGUGCUUAACACAUGCAAGUCGAACGGAAAGGCCCUGCUUUUGUGGGGUGUUCGAGUGGCGAGAGGGUGUGUAACCCGUGAGUAACCUGCCUUUGACUUUAGGAUAACUUCAGGCAACUGCGGCUAAUACCGGCUAGGAGCUCCUGCUGCAUGGUGGGGGUUGGAACGUUUCGUCGGUUGUGGAUCGACUCGCGGCUAAUCAGCUUGUUGGUUGGGUAGUGGCUUACGAGGGCAUUGAUUGGUAACCGGCCUGAGAGGGGAACCAGCGACAAAGGGACUGAGAUACGGCACAGACUGCUACGGUGGGCAGCAGUGGCGAAUAUUACACAAUGAGCCGAAGCGUGAGGCAAAAACGCCGCGUGCGUGAUGACCGCCUUCGGGUGGGAAACCGCUGUCGCCUGUGACGUAGCGUGAGUGACGGUAAUAGGUAAAGAAGCACCGGCUAACUACGUG
Molecule: ribosomal RNA, 468 nt
Filed under: uncultured bacterium
Lineage: Bacteria
Description: partial 16S ribosomal RNA
Rfam family: Bacterial small subunit ribosomal RNA
Source: RNAcentral